AUGGGCUGCUGACUGUCA
RNAcentral lists this non-coding RNA (18 nucleotides) under Mus musculus (house mouse). The record is from RNAcentral. Lineage: Eukaryota; Metazoa; Chordata; Mammalia; Rodentia; Muridae.